UGAUGUGAUGGACAACUAGGGGAUACCCUCUGCUCUGAUGAUGAGACGGAGAAACUCAGUCAAACCACUCAACAGUCUCUUGUGUCCUCCUGGCUGAUUCUCCGGUUAGCCUCUCACUCUACAGCAUUCCUCCUCUUCCACAGCCUGCUGAAUGAACACAGCUGGCGUCUCCUGUCUCUUCCUUUCCCUGUACAAAACAGGAAACAGGACACAUCAUCUCUUUACAGUUUGAUUUCAUGCAGGUGUUCCCCUCUAAUGGCGCAUACAGUGUGAAACCAAAUGACUCCAUCUCCUGCUGUGACAAGGCCAUGUCAACAGGUUGCUACAUACAGAUCUGGGGCCUCAUUUCCAGAUAAGAGGCGCUCUGAGAGAGGACACCACUGCUACGGGACUAAGAGGACGCAUUAAUCACAGAAUCCACCCACUCCUAUCACCCUCAGCACCUGAAGAGUUGCUUUAAAUAUAAU
This is a long non-coding RNA of Perca flavescens (yellow perch), 467 nucleotides long. RefSeq lists it as uncharacterized. NCBI's taxonomy places the organism in Eukaryota, Metazoa, Chordata, Actinopteri, Perciformes, Percidae. The record is from RefSeq and is a predicted model, not a curated record. The transcript is spliced from 5 exons.